UCUGUCAUGCUCUUUGUGCUCCUGCUCGAGACAGAAACUUUUAGAUAUUUGUACUGAUUAUUGGUACCGGCACUGAUCGUAUUUAUUCUCAAUUGUUCCAGGUUAAUCAUCUAGGGAAAGUAACACCUGAUCACAGGGUAUCAAAGUUAGUAGAUGUAUGUAAAGUUAUGUAGCUUCGUCAAACAAAUGUCAGUUUUUACAUGUUGGUCAGUUAUGUAGCUGCUCUCCAAUGACCUUUUCAACUCAACAUGCCGUCGGUCAAAUAUCCAUGGAGGACACGAAACAAAUCAAAAAGAAAUUAGCAAUCUAUUAAAUCCAAAUAUUUCUCUGAUUUACUGCUUUCAUUUUUGUGGAACCUAGCAUGUGAAAUGUUCAUGUGUUCUUACUUGAGCGCCUCUUGUGGUUUUAGCAAUGGAGUUGGCUCUAGCUCUUGAAAAGAUGGUGAACGAGAAGCUGCCCAACCUGCUCAUUGUAAGUUUUUCCUUCUUGCCUGUUUAUAUAAGGAAGUUACUUUCAAGGUAUUUGUGUGCCUGUUCAACACAUUGAAUUCUUUAUUGAGUGCAACUAGGAGAUUGUGGCGGCAGCGGGGGUUUUGUGUC
RNAcentral lists this long non-coding RNA (599 nucleotides) under Triticum aestivum (bread wheat). Its description in RNAcentral is "long non-coding RNA (TAES_LNC017131)". Lineage: Eukaryota; Viridiplantae; Streptophyta; Magnoliopsida; Poales; Poaceae. The record is from RNAcentral.